CAAGGCAGUUGUGAUGUCUAUAGAGAUUGGAUAAUUGUUUGAGAACUCUUAUGCGCUGCAGACAAAGAAUAUAUGGAAUUUGUUUCUAAAUGGCAAAUUAUGUUUCUCACACCAACAGAAGCACAUUUACUGAUGCCAUGGGAAACAGAAUAUAAAUAAGUAUAAAUAUGUACAAAUAAAAUAUUUAAAAAAGGUGAAGAAAACCAAUGUGUGUUGGGAAGAAAAGAGACUUCAGUCCUACCACCAGUGAGCAGUAAUCAAGAGGCCAAUGGAGAAGAAAGAGGCAACCAGAGCAACAAUCUUCAGCAAUCAGAUUCCCUUCCUUCUCUUCUUUAGUUCUUCUUCCAGAGUCAUUCUUAUCCACCCAUUUCCCUCUUUGGCUCAUAAACUAUGGCAAAUGUUGUUCAACAGUUCCUACAGUUAACUAUAAGAACAUCAAAGCAUUGUGCCAUCAGUUACAAAGGACUUCACUGACCACUGCAUGGGGGAUCCAGACCAAUCCAGUUAAUGUCUUCAUAUUGAAGAAGAGUUGUACCUUCAAUAGAAAAUCCUGUUUUUUCUUUUGCUUGCAUUUUUUUGCAAAAGGGAAAACGAUAUCCUCAUGGGGAAAAAAGAGGGAAAAAAGAUGUUCCCGCAAGUGUGUGCGUGUCGUCUGUAUGUCAGCUUAACUGUGGAGUCAUUCACAGCCUAUAUCCAUAAUAGAAGAAAAAACAACCAAGCUGGACUGGUGGCUGAUGAUUCCAUCCUUUUCAAGGAACUUGGGGAUCCUUUGGGAGACGGAUCUUUUUAUGCCUUUAUUUGAUGUCAGAAGUAUAUGGAAAGAUGCCACUCCAGACAGUCAAGCUUACCACUGCAGUCCCGUACUCCAUUUUCAUUGGCAAGGUAGCCACGAUGCUCUGCGAAUGAGCUGUGAUCUCCUGGAGAUGCUGUCAGGCUCUUGUGUAAAGGACAUGCUCUGGCCUGAAGAACAAAGACAACAGGAGCCAACCUCCGGUCACAUGCACUGUUCCAGCCAAAAGAGGUCCUGUCAUGUACAUAGCCAAUGAGAUAUCCGUAAAGGAUUGCAUCCCCUUGUACAUUGCCCCCUUUCUCUUUCAACUCAUUGAUUGUGUCAAAAUUGUCCACGUUUGUAAUAGUAACUUUCAAAAACUAUUGUACUAAAAAUAAAA
Molecule: long non-coding RNA, 1169 nt
Filed under: Naja naja (Indian cobra)
Lineage: Eukaryota; Metazoa; Chordata; Lepidosauria; Squamata; Elapidae
Description: lncRNA (ENSNNAG00000009827.1)
Source: RNAcentral